Molecule: ribosomal RNA, 500 nt
Filed under: uncultured bacterium
Lineage: Bacteria
Description: partial 16S ribosomal RNA
Rfam family: Bacterial small subunit ribosomal RNA
Source: RNAcentral
AUUGAACGCUGGCGGCAUGCCUUACACAUGCAAGUCGAACGGUAACAGGGAGCUUGCUCCGCUGACGAGUGGCGAACGGGUGAGUAAUGUAUCGGAACGUACCAUUGAGUGGGGGAUAACGUAGCGAAAGUUACGCUAAUACCGCAUAUUCUCUCCGGAGGAAAGCAGGGGACCGCAAGGCCUUGCGCUCUUUGAGCGGCCGAUAUCAGAUUAGCUAGUUGGUGGGGUAAAAGCUCACCAAGGCGACGAUCUGUAGCGGGUCUGAGAGGAUGAUCCGCCACACUGGAACUGAGACACGGUCCAGACUCCCACGGGAGGCAGCAGUGGGGAAUUUUGGACAAUGGGGGCAACCCUGAUCCAGCCAUGCCGCGUGAGUGAAGAAGGCCUUCGGGUUGUAAAGCUCUUUCGGCCGGGAAGAAAUCGUAUGGGCUAAUACCCUGUGCGGAUGACGGUACCGGCAUAAGAAGCACCGGCUAACUACGUGCCAGCAGCCGCCGUAA